This 340-nucleotide unclassified non-coding RNA is filed under the name Hevea brasiliensis (rubber tree). The record is from RNAcentral. Lineage: Eukaryota; Viridiplantae; Streptophyta; Magnoliopsida; Malpighiales; Euphorbiaceae.
AAAAAAACAGUUUCAUCUCAUUUCAUUCAGAAACAAGGAAGAGGGGGAAAUGAGCAAAGUUCCUCAAAAUCCAGCAUCAAUGAACAACCUCAAAGUCUUUUAGAAUCCCUUGGACGGCUCUGAUAGCACAGGAAAACCCAAAGGACCCCUUCCCCUACCAAAAAAGAGCUCAUCCCUAUCUUUCUCUUCUUUAAUAAACAAAUAAAUUAAAGCUCAAGUACAAGAACAAUCUCAAGAAACAUCUUUUGUUCAUGAGAUAUACGUUCUUGCUAUAAUGUAACUUUAAUGGAAACUACUAAUAACACAUUAAUCCUAGCUGCAAAACUUAUGGGCAUGCAAU